AGAGUUUGAUCCUGGCUCAGGAUGAACGCCGGCGGUGUGCCUAAUACAUGCAAGUCGUACGCACUGGCCCAACUGAUUGAUGGUGCUUGCACCUGAUUGACGAUGGAUCACCAGUGAGUGGCGGACGGGUGAGUAACACGUAGGUAACCUGCCUCGGAGCGGGGGAUAACAUUUGGAAACAGAUGCUAAUACCGCAUAACAACAAAAGCCACAUGGCUUUUGUUUGAAAGAUGGCUUUGGCUAUCACUCUGGGAUGGACCUGCGGUGCAUUAGCUAGUUGGUAAGGUAACGGCUUACCAAGGCAAUGAUGCAUAGCCGAGUUGAGAGACUGAUCGGCCACAAUGGAACUGAGACACGGUCCAUACUCCUACGGGAGGCAGCAGUAGGGAAUCUUCCACAAUGGGCGCAAGCCUGAUGGAGCAACACCGCGUGAGUGAAGAAGGGUUUCGGCUCGUAAAGCUCUGUUGUUGGAGAAGAACGUGCGUGAGAGUAACUGUUCACGCAGUGACGGUAUCCAACCAGAAAGUCACGGCUAACUACGUGCCAGCAGCCGCGGUAAUACGUAGGUGGCAAGCGUUAUCCGGAUUUAUUGGGCGUAAAGCGAGCGCAGGCGGUUGCUUAGGUCUGAUGUGAAAGCCUUCGGCUUAACCGAAGAAGUGCAUCGGAAACCGGGCGACUUGAGUGCAGAAGAGGACAGUGGAACUCCAUGUGUAGCGGUGGAAUGCGUAGAUAUAUGGAAGAACACCAGUGGCGAAGGCGGCUGUCUGGUCUGCAACUGACGCUGAGGCUCGAAAGCAUGGGUAGCGAACAGGAUUAGAUACCCUGGUAGUCCAUGCCGUAAACGAUGAGUGCUAGGUGUUGGAGGGUUUCCGCCCUUCAGUGCCGGAGCUAACGCAUUAAGCACUCCGCCUGGGGAGUACGACCGCAAGGUUGAAACUCAAAGGAAUUGACGGGGGCCCGCACAAGCGGUGGAGCAUGUGGUUUAAUUCGAAGCUACGCGAAGAACCUUACCAGGUCUUGACAUCUUGCGCUAACCUUAGAGAUAAGGCGUUCCCUUCGGGGACGCAAUGACAGGUGGUGCAUGGUCGUCGUCAGCUCGUGUCGUGAGAUGUUGGGUUAAGUCCCGCAACGAGCGCAACCCUUGUUACUAGUUGCCAGCAUUAAGUUGGGCACUCUAGUGAGACUGCCGGUGACAAACCGGAGGAAGGUGGGGACGACGUCAGAUCAUCAUGCCCCUUAUGACCUGGGCUACACACGUGCUACAAUGGACGGUACAACGAGUCGCAAGCUCGCGAGAGUAAGCUAAUCUCUUAAAGCCGUUCUCAGUUCGGACUGUAGGCUGCAACUCGCCUACACGAAGUCGGAAUCGCUAGUAAUCGCGGAUCAGCAUGCCGCGGUGAAUACGUUCCCGGGCCUUGUACACAACGCCCGUCA
This 1434-nucleotide ribosomal RNA is filed under the name uncultured bacterium. RNAcentral describes it as "bacterial SSU rRNA". It matches the Rfam family "Bacterial small subunit ribosomal RNA". The record is from RNAcentral.